Molecule: long non-coding RNA, 433 nt
Filed under: Cicer arietinum (chickpea)
Lineage: Eukaryota; Viridiplantae; Streptophyta; Magnoliopsida; Fabales; Fabaceae
Description: long non-coding RNA (CARI_LNC001692)
Source: RNAcentral
CCACCGCUUUAUAAAUAUUCAUAUUCAUGUUCCUUCCACAACACAACUUACUCAAAUUCUUCAAUGAGCCAACCAAGAUCUCCAUGCAACAUCAGUGCGUCUCUUUCAGAUCUGAUGCUACCAAGAUCGUUCAAGGAGACCUUUUCUUCUUUGCCAUCUCCUACGUGCUCUAAUGGAUCGAUCUGCAUUGUUUUAUUUAUUAUUUUAGCAAUUGUGAUUUCCUUGAUUAAUUACGUCAUAAGGUCUCUGUCUUAACGGUGACAUAAGUUUAUAGUCACAUAUAAAAAUACCACAACCAUCUUAUUUAUAAAAUUUAUGAAGGUGGUUGAAUUGUAUUUAGGAAAGCAAAUACCCACACAACUCAUUAUUAUAUAUUUGUUUAGAAUACGUGGAAUUGAUCUUUUUCUCUUAUGUUAGAAUAUAAUUGACUGUG